GGAUCAGGUAGGGAUACCCGCUGAACUUAAGCAUAUCAAUAAGCGGAGGAAAAGAAACCANCAGGGAUUGCCUCAGUAACGGCGAGUGAAGCGGCAACAGCUCAAAUUUGAAAUCUGGCUCUUUUAGGGUCCGAGUUGUAAUUUGUAGAAGAUGCUUUGAGCGUGGCUCCGGUCUAAGUUCCUUGGAACAGGACGUCAUAGAGGGUGAGAAUCCCGUAUGUGACUGGGUGCCUUCGUUCGUGUAAAGCUCUUUCGACGAGUCGAGUUGUUUGGGAAUGCAGCUCAAAGUGGGUGGUAAAUUUCAUCUAAAGCUAAAUAUUGGCCAGAGACCGAUAGCGCACAAGUAGAGUGAUCGAAAGAUGAAAAGCACUUUGGAAAGAGAGUUAAACAGUACGUGAAAUUGUUGAAAGGGAAGCGCUUGCAACUAGACUUGCACGCUGUUGAUCAUCUGAGGUUCUCCCCGGUGCACUCGGCAGCGUUCAGGCCAGCAUCGGUCUUGGUGGGUGGAUAAAGGCCUUGGGAAUGUAGCUCCUCUCGGGGAGUGUUAUAGCCCUCGGUGCAAUGCGCCCUACCGGGACCGAGGACCGCGCUCCGGCUAGGAUGCUGGCGUAAUGGUUGUAAGCGACC
RNAcentral lists this ribosomal RNA (627 nucleotides) under uncultured fungus. Its description in RNAcentral is "eukaryotic LSU rRNA". It matches the Rfam family "Eukaryotic large subunit ribosomal RNA", at positions 1 to 649 of the family's 3401-position model. The record is from RNAcentral. Lineage: Eukaryota; Fungi.